RNAcentral lists this unclassified non-coding RNA (387 nucleotides) under soil metagenome. RNAcentral's name for it is "partial contains 5.8S ribosomal RNA, internal transcribed spacer 2, and large subunit ribosomal RNA". The stretch from base 1 to 120 matches the Rfam family "5.8S ribosomal RNA", at positions 35 to 154 of the family's 154-position model. The record is from RNAcentral.
GAUGAAGAACGCAGCGAAAUGCGAUAAGUAAUGUGAAUUGCAGAAUUCAGUGAACCAUCGAAUCUUUGAACGCACAUUGCGCCCCCUGGUACCCCGGGGGGCAUGCCUGUCCGAGCGUCAUAUGUCCCGUCGGACCCCCAGUUGGGUCUGGAGUUGGGUCCCCGUGUCGCCCCUAACCCCGGAGGUGCGGGCCCGAAAUGAAACCUCGAGGUGGAGCCGUCGGACGGCGCCUAGCGACCAAGGCCUGAAGCCAUCGCUGGGGCCCGUACGGCGGUCGAUCCGCCCCCCAUGGCCGACAGACCCUCGGCUGUGGAACCCAGAUCAAGUGACUGACCUCGGAUCAGGUAGGGAUACCCGCUGAACUUAAGCAUAUCAAUAAGCGGAGGA